GUGUCAGCCGCCGCGGUAAGACGUAGGAGGCGAACGUUAUCCGGAUUUAUUGGGCGUAAAGAGAGCGUAGGCGGCUUUUUAAGUCAAGUGUGAAAUCUUAUGACUCAAUCAGAAGACGCCGCUUGAUACUGGAAGGCUUGAGGGAAGCAGAAGGAAAUGGAAUUCCCAGUGUAGCGGUGAAAUGCGUUGAUAUUGGGAAGAACACCAGUGGCGAAGGCGAUUUUCUAGGCUUUUCCUGACGCUGAGGCUCGAAAGCGUGGGGAGCGAAGCGGAUUAGAUACCCGCGUAGUCCACGCCUUAAACGGUGGACAUUAGGUAUGGGGAGUAUCGACCCUCUCCGUGUCGAAGCUAACGCUUUAAAUGUCCCGCCUGGGGAGUACGGCCGCAAGGCUAAAACUUAAAUGAAUUGGCGGGG
This 415-nucleotide ribosomal RNA is filed under the name uncultured prokaryote. RNAcentral describes it as "bacterial SSU rRNA". It matches the Rfam family "Bacterial small subunit ribosomal RNA", at positions 505 to 918 of the family's 1533-position model. The record is from RNAcentral.